This 520-nucleotide ribosomal RNA is filed under the name uncultured spirochete. RNAcentral describes it as "bacterial SSU rRNA". It matches the Rfam family "Bacterial small subunit ribosomal RNA", at positions 237 to 749 of the family's 1533-position model. The record is from RNAcentral. Lineage: Bacteria; Pseudomonadati; Spirochaetota; Spirochaetia; Spirochaetales.
CCCAUUAGGUAGUUGGCGAGGUAAAGGCCCACCAAGCCCGAGAUGGAUAGCCGGCCUGAGAGGGUGAGCGGCCACACUGGGACUGAGAUACGGCCCAGACUCCUACGGGAGGCAGCAGCUAAGAAUAUUCCGCAAUGGGCGAAAGCCUGACGGAGCGACGCCGCGUGGAUGAAGAAGGCCGAAAGGUUGUAAAGUCCUUUUUUUGCGGAAGAAUAAGCGAGGGAGGGAAUGCCCGUGUGAUGACGUGAAGCAAAGAAUAAGCCCCGGCUAAUUACGUGCCAGCAGCCGCGGUAACACGUAAGGGGCGAGCGUUGUUCGGAAUUAUUGGGNGUAAAGGGCGCGCAGGCGGCUGUGGAAGUCUGAUGUGAAAGGCAGGAGCUUAACUUCUGUACUGCAUUGGAAACUGGANGACUAGAGUCAUGGAGGGGGAGUUGGAAUUCCUAGUGUAGGGGUGAAAUCUGUAGAUAUUAGGAAGAACACCGGUGGCGAAGGCGAGCUUCUAGCCAAUGACUGACGCUGA